Anolis carolinensis (green anole) is the source of this 8933-nucleotide long non-coding RNA. RefSeq lists it as uncharacterized. The transcript is spliced from 4 exons. The record is from RefSeq and is a predicted model, not a curated record. Lineage: Eukaryota; Metazoa; Chordata; Lepidosauria; Squamata; Anolidae.
GGAGCCCGCGUCCGUUUGGCGAGCCGUCAUUCCGCGCGUGGCGGAGGCUGAGGGAACAAGAUGGCGGCGUGAGGGGGAGAAGCGCAGGCUGCGGCCCAUUGGGCCUCCCCUGAGGCCCACGUUUGCACCAUAUUGAUUGACAGUCCAAAGAAGAGAACUGGAUUACUGUAAAGUGACGGCCAGAAGUUCAUGGAGAUAAAUUAUUUGUGCAGCUAUGAUACAAAAGGGAAAAUUCUUAUGGUUUCAAUUAAACAAUUAGAAGCUGAAAAACAAUUGUGGUCUUGCAUAACUGUUCUUUCCAGUCCCAACAAACGAAGGCUGAGUGUGAAGCUUUGCCUGUUUGUGAAGGCACUUCUGGCGAAGAAAAAUCCCUCAUCAUCACCAUAAGAGAAAAUGAAGAAUAAUUACUCUCCUUUUGCUCUAGUUCCUUAACAUAAAAUUUGAACUUUUGUAGUAGAGGGGAAAAGAUAAUCUUGCUCUUUAAAAUAGUUGACAUUUUGUAGAAGUGUCAGUGGUGACAACCUGUUUUUCACUGUUUUGGCACGCUACAAAUGUUUAUCCAUCCAGAGAAAGACUAGCAACUGUUCUGGCAGAUAGUUAUCCCUCUUCAGAAUACCAUAGUUAAGGAAAAGCUUACUCCCUACAUUGCAUUACUGAAAACCUAACAAUUAAUGUCCUUUGAGUAAGUGGAUCUUAGUGUAUGAAAGAACCUGGCAGAAUAAUCACGAUAUUAUGUGCAUAUUCUAAAAGAAAGAAUAACCUCUCAAAGAAAAUAAAAACCCUUGGAAAAUUCCUUAGCGGGGAUUGUUCUCCUGAAAGGGAACCGUUUACAGAUCACCGUCUUGAUAUCUCUAUUUAGCAGCUGACGUCCAGCAGCUAAUAGUCAUUUUUUUUAAUCCACUGUGUUGAAGUGCAUCUUCCUUUUGUAAAUCAAAGCAAAUGAACAAAAUAAUCCCCAUGUCUCAAUCUGCCUAAAGGAUAGAAACAGGAAAUGUUGCUAUAAGUUGCUGCUUCUCUAGCAAGUCCUUUCCUAAAGGGGCGAAGCCUUGAGGACUUCAAAGUGACCCCAGGUUCCCUGGCAUUUCCACAGGUUCCUUGGGGAAAUUCAGCAGCCAAAGGAGCAAUAGCUUUCUCCAAGUCAAGCUCUUACCCAAAGGGAACAACAGCAAGUAUAAAGGUAUAUAUACUAUUUUCCAUUGCUUAGGUGAACAAAGAGUAGACAUGCUCAGGAAGGGCUUCUUCACUACUUUCCUAGUGGGUGUAAUCCACAGCUAAGGUGGACAUUGUAAUUUUAACAUGUUUACAGAUGAUUCCUUUUCUCUGUUGUUUGUGAUUUAUACAUGAUCUUUUUUUAAAAAAAAAUCAUUGAGUAGUAGCUAUCUUUCUCCACAUUUUGCCAGGGCGAGUAGCUUCCUGGCAAAGUAAUGUACCCUUUUAUGCUGGAUCCUGGAACCUUUAGUAGUGCACCUUACACAAAUUAUCAAAAUGUGAAUGCCAACUUUUUAUUUUUUUUAAAUCCUCAAUCUGGGUUAAAAUGGGAUGACAUAGAUUGUAAAUAAUGGUCGGUUGUGGUUAACCAAAUUCUGAAUACUUUUUGAUGGUCUGGUUAGAAUUGGCAAAAAGGUUAUUUUAUACGAGGGAAAGCAGUGAUGCUCAUUUGGAGAGCCAGUUCUCUGUUCUGUAAUUUCAAAAUAAUUUUAAGAGGAGCAUGCCAGUCUAAGCACUUGUAUGGGCUCACCACUUCUUAUCUUGAUUCUGUGUGAUAAAUGGAUGCACAGAAAGUUCUUAGUAUAAUUUUAUUCUGCUGUUUUCCUUAAUUGAAAAUCAAGUCAAACAAAAUGAGAACACUCUUAUAAUGGUGAAAAUAUGUAGCUGCAGAAACUAAACAGAAUGUCUGACCAGUUCAUGAGCUUGUUAUUCAGAUUGAUUUUCAAGUAUAUUGGGAUCCCAAGCCAGAUGGAAAUUCCAAAUGUAAAAUAAUUGCAUAUCUUUUUCAAAAUCUUUGAAGGAAUAUCUAUUGAAAAUCAAAAUUUGAAAUGUAGUUCCAAAUUUCUUACUUGAAAUAUAAGCUGUAUUCUUCAAAACUGAUACUAAAAAUGUAGACGAUUUUCACCAGUCGGUGGGAUUUUUAAUGUCUUAGCUACUUGACCCUUAGAAAUAUCAUAUUUGGAUUUCUCACAUUUUCAUAAUAGACAUAAUCAAGAUCAGCCAUGCCACUCACCCGAAUGUCCAGCAAAGAAGUUUGUCCCUCCACCCUUUUCUCCUCAUAAAUCUCCUUCUAGCUAUGUAUUCACUUAAACUCAGUACGACUACAUUAGGAGGAGAUUUAAAGUUAUCCUGGAGAGAAAAGUCUGCUAAAUAUGGCCAGGACAUCCUGUUGCAGUACUUAUCCUGUAGCAUACCCUUAACAGUACUGUGAAAAAGGCAAUGCUGCCUUAAUCUUUGGUUUUACAUGUUGAAUUACAUCUUUUUCUCCUCAUUGGCAGGAAAUCUUUCCAUAUGAAAGAUCAAACAAAUACGGGGCACGUGCAAUAGUAUAAUAUAUACAUAUAAAUAUAUUUUAAUACUUGUGGACAAAACGUUACAAGUUGUUUGAGAACAACAAAAUCACCAAUGUCUUCCAUUUUGAGAUGUGUAUAGUUCCAUAAGCAUUAGUGCUUUGUAGCAAAACUGUAGUGCCAUUUUAGGAUCGGUGCAUGAGCCUAGUAGUAUCUUUUUUAUUUUAAAUAACAAUUUCAGAGUGACAAAUUAAUCGUGCUGAUGGUGUAACUCAUAAACUGGUACAGUUAUGGUCUAAAGAUGCAGUGUCGUUUCUAGGCAAAUGGUAGCAGAAAGGCAGCAGUGUGAAUUAAGGGGUGUUUACCGAUAACAGCCUCCAUGCCGCCAGUUACAUUUAGAUACACUGAAAAAAACUGCAAUUAAAACCAAGACACAAUGUUGAACAAAACCCUUGCUCUCUGAGCAAAUAAUUUGUUAUGGGGAAAAUAACUGAUUACGUGUACUUUUUCAGUUUCAAGGGAUGACCAGUUGACAUAUGGCUAAUGUCUCCCUCAGCAAUUCUUACUUAAUAUGUGACUAUGUUUCUCAUUGAGAAGGCCCAACAUACUUUGAAUUAUUUAGCAUAUGUACCCUUAAGUAUUAUUGUAUUGACACAUCAGUGUAGCUCUUAUUCAGAAUGGUUUUACCAUUAUUGCUAUUCAAGAUAUGUUGUUAAAAACCAGUGAUCUUAAAUUUUGAUCACAUAGAUAUGUAGGAAAAACAGUUGUAGGUGUUUCCUUACCAUUUUAAAUUUUAGAUCACAUUUUUUCUUGCAGUCCAAGUACCAUUUGUAUUGUAGUUACUGAUUUUUUUUAAAAGAGUACGACUCCAAGAAGUCAUUGUUUUCUUUUAAGUUCAUACAAUUCAGAUUGCUCACUAUUAAUCGUACAUGUUCUUUGCAGAUUUGCAAUUCUGUUUCAUGUGUCUGUAAAGUACCGUAUAUGUAACAGAAGCACUACUUUUAGCUUAAGGAGGAUACUGCAUUUUAUUUCUUGGUCUUUUCUAUAAAUGGCUGCCUUGGUGAGGGAAGGGAUGUUUCUGCAUUUGAGUUGAUUAUUGGCUGAAAUUCAAAGCAAAGAUACAGAUUUUCUGCAGAAGAUGAGAUCUUGUGAAAUUAGUAGCCGUUUAAAAGACUGUACCCAUUCUCUCUUGUAAACUGAGAAGGUGGGCUGUUUAUAGAAGAGCCGUAAGGACCAGAGCUCAGUCCACGUUCUUGUGUGAACUAAUGUAUCUGUACCGUUAAGAGAAGUAGAUUUUAGCGCUUGGGAGAAUCAAUUGAUGGAAAAAUACCUCUGAAACUGGAAUGCAAAAUAGCACAGUAUGUAGGGGGAAGAAUCCCCAAUGCAAAUAAAGCCAUAAGAUGACUUAAUAAAUAGAACUUUAGUAGCAAUAACUGUUUGCAUGUAAUAGGAACUAACUUGCAGUAGCAAGAAUUGUACAGUAGAAUAAAUGGUAUUAACCAAAUAGGUUUGUGGUGCUCUGUGUCACAGGGAGUUGCUUGACAAGAUGAGACUCAAUUAAAAAAGUAGAAUAUCCUCUCCUUAAAGGAACAUGGCAUGAAUGCCUCAGAGCUGGUUCAGGUGUAAGCUAGAAUGUUUGUCCAUUUUUUUUGCAACUGGAAAGACGUUUGCUAUGUGUGAAGAAAUGGAUGAAGUCUUAUGCUGCUUGUCUCUAGAAAGAAUAUGUUUGAUAUGCACCUCUAUGGUGAAAGGGAGGCCUUUUGGAAGCAGAUGUAGAAUGUCUUUCACAUUACAUAAUUACAACACAUUGAUACCACUUUAAUUGCCAUGGCUGUAUCCUAUGGUAUUCUGGAGUAUGUCAUUUUGUGAAGUAUCUAGACCUCCCUGCCAGAGAACUCUAGCAUUUCUCUAAGCAACAAAUCUCAGGUUUCUGUAGGAUACACCUAUGGCAUUAAAAGUGGUAUAAAAGAUCUGUGUGUUGUAGACAAUAUCUAAGUCUGUCUAUCCAUUGGUGUAAGGUAUAAUGUUUAAUUGUGGGAUCUUGUCAUUUCAUAAAACUGCUUAGCUGUGUCAAAUUUUCAUAGGAAUUUUAGCAAAGUACAGAUCAUUCAGAUACCUCUACCAAGAGCUGUUGAUGUCUCUUAGAGAUGUACUUCACCUUUUUAACAUGGAGAUCCCAUGUUGUUAUUUCAUUUUUUCUUAGUUUAACACAGAUACUUUUGUAAUUGAAAAGGAAAGGACAUGAUUCAGUUGAGUAGGCUUAGCAAUCUCUUACUCCCAUCACUCUAGAGAGUGUAGUAAUACCUCCUUAACAUACAGUUUGCACUAAUCUUGUAUGCGCGCGCAUACUGAAGACCAAGGAAACUGUAAGUCUAAUAUGUAACUCUGCCUUAAGCAGUAUUUAGCUGAAGAAUAUAACCAGAUUCACCUGCAACAUUGGGGUGUGUGCUUGACGAAAGGGAUGUUACCUUUAUUUCUAUUCUUAACAUUGAUUUAUCCAUUACCCACCAACAAUUUGAUUAACACCACUUGUGUUUAAGAAGUAAGCUCCUGUUUUCAAACCAGAACGCACAUGCAGUCUCUAUGAAAACAUGCAAUUUUUUCUAAGUUAGCAAUAGUUUCCAAAAUAAUGUUUGCAAACGGAAUUUAGAAAAGACACAUGCAAAGAUAGUUAACAAAUAGUUGAUCACCAGUUUUACUUGCACAGAAUAUAUAGCAUUCUUUUCCAGAACUAGGAAGUUAUUUUAAGCAAACAUAGAGUGUUAAAAGUGUCACAUACUUAUAUCAGUAGAACUUGCUUUGUUCCUAAUCUUGUAGGCAUAUGCUUUGCAAAUAUAUUUCAUAGUGAACCUGGUGCUAGACAUCACAGUGCUGUUGCUCAGUUCCAUAUGAAAUAAAACUUCAGCUUAUGUGUUUUGAUUAUGACCUUAAGGAUAUGGGCUUCAUGACUACCAUAUACAUUGGGAUUGGCUUGACAGCUAUUUAGAAAGUUACAGUCUGGUUGGUGACUUGUAGACACACUCGCACAGUUUCACAAUGGAAAAAAUAUAAUCUUGAUCAAUGGAAGUAAGGGCUGUAGGAAGCAUGUACUUAAGGAGUUGUGUCUAAACUCAGUAAUCUAGCAUUGAAGUUUGUAUCCAUAAUCACAUAACAGGUGAAGAGAGUUUUUCAGCUAUUCACGGACACUAGCAGCCCAUGGUAUACACAUUUCCUUUUCUUCUUUGCACUGAAGUGAUUCUCUUUUUAGCUCUUACUUAGCUUGAGAUCAAGGUUUAUUAAAAGCAUAUUGAUGCUAUUUUUGAUGACUAGGAGGUCAAUGUUUUUUUCGUGACAUGUGCAAGCAUGCCGACCCUCACCUGCAUUUCUGUAUUUUGUUGUCAUUGCAGACUGGUAUUCUUUUCUAUCCUCUGCAAUGGCCAAAAUGACUCAGUUUUACUAUACUAACCUCCCUUACAAGGUUAGUGGAAAGCAUGGGGCUCCAGAGAUGUGUCUGGAUAUGUCUCUUAGCCAGGCUCAGGAUAAUGACACAAUCCAUUAAGGGUCCCAACCUUUUCUCUGUUGCUGUGAUGACCUUCUUGCUCUCCACCAGCCUCUGGCUGUUCCAGGGGUCUUCCAAAGUCAUGGAUGUAGCGAGUUGGGAAUAAUGGCAGAACUCUUAGCCUGCACUGGGCAAUGCGGUGUCUUGGCCGGAACUUGCUUUUUGUAGUACUUUUGUCUCUCAGCCCUUGUGGUGAUGUGAUGAGUCUAACUUAUAACUUCCCCAGUUUAGUGGAGAAACUCCCUUUCGUACUUCUUCCUUUCAGACUCAUUUCCUUCCUUUCUCUUUGCUCUGCAAUGAGCAGGAGUCCAAGCACAAUACAAAAAAAAAUACAAAGGUGCCAAUCAGUAUGUCUGAAAUAUAGGCUUCCAGUUUACACAUGGCAGGCUUGUAAAUGGUAGUUCUGGGGGACUUGCAACUUCAAGAGGCUAAGCUGAGCUGAAUUUGCUUAUCAUGACAUGAGUAAUUUGUAUAGGAUGGAUGGGAGGCAUCUUUACCAUAUUUUGAUGCAUAGAGAGGCAGUGAGAUCUCUGAAACACAAGCGUGUCCAGCAGUGUGAGGGCCUUUGUGUCAUUGAAGAAAGACUUUGGCAAAAAGAGCCAAUUAGGUUCUGCUUUGUAGGGUGAGACGAUAAGGGCCCUUUUGUGCUAUGCAGUUAUAGCACUAUGAUUCCGGCUACAUCUAUAAAGGGAUACUGGGAUAUAUAAUUUGCUGAAAUAUUCAGGGUCUCUGGCCCUAAACUGCAAAUCCCAGAUUUCAUUAGGAUGGAGUCAGGGCAGUUCGGAUGACAUUGUAAUCCUGUAAUUGGGUCUCAUUGUAGCUGGAAUUUGGGAAGUAAAGGAAUGAAAAACGAGAACAUAAUUACAUCUGGUGGGAUAUGACUGAAAGGUUUCUAUACAUCAAAAGAAGAUAGAAAUUGACUCUUAAGGGAAGGAGGUAGGAGAGAUAGGUAGAAUGGUAACAGAACUGGUUUUGAUUGUUCGUUUUAGGUAGAUUUCUUAAUGUUUCUAAGUCAUAGCACAAUAAACAUAUCCACAAAGCUUAGCAUUUCUUAAGGACAGGAUGUUGCUGCAAUUUACUCACUUGUUCCUCUGUGUAAGCACUUGAAAGCUUGCAUGGGGCAAUGACAGUGACACAAGCACACAGGCGCGCAAACCGUCUUUUAUAGAGCUAGUAUUCUAAUUAUGCAUGAUUGAGAUGUCUGGUGUUAUAGUUAUUAUUACCAGUAAAUUGAUAUAUGCAUUUAUACAUUAUGAAGCAAUAGGAACUAAUAUACCAAUAGCUUGAAUUUUAACUGCUUUGAUUCUCGGAUUUUUCUUUUUUGUAGAGAACGCGCUGCCUCUUGAGUAAAAAAGGGGGCAGAGCAUAUAAAUAAGGGAAGAAGCAUGACGCCAAAACUGUGUGUUGGAAAGUAAAAUCAGCUGAAAUGAGCCCUUUUUAAACCUCUUACCAGGUUCACUGUGGUCCCUUGGCCCUGCAUUGUAUGAGCAUGGUGGGUGGCAAGAUGGGUUUCUUGUACAAAUAGAAAGGGUGCAGAGUUUCAGAGUCCAGAAAAGUCAAUAGGGAAAGCCCAAAUUCAGAAAUGGGGUGGGUAGUGGGGGGUCUAAGAGGACUUCUUGGUAAUUCUUCAGGUAGUAGAUAGAACUGUGUAGGAGCAAAUACAUGGAGUAAAUGAAAUCAGCAGGCAGUCUGCACUCUUCUGGCAUUGAAUUGUUUCAAGGACAGGUCUGCUUUUCAGGUAUCUUUCAGCACCUUGGCAGCUAUACAAAGAUGAACUGGUUUCAAGCCAGCAAUAAUGAGGUACCUAACAGAAAUCUAUACAUUGGAAAAUAAUGCUAUAUGCACUCAACUCAAAUUGAAGCUUACUAAAUCAGAGGGGCAGCAUUUUCCUUUUACCUCAUCUCUGUGUUUUGCUCCAGUUGAACAAAAGAAAUACUGAGCAUUGAAAAUUGGGUGCCUUUCAUGGAAAAUAUGUUAGUUACGUAAAAAACGUUGGACAAGCUUAGACCUUGUUGUAUAUCCUGGAUUGGAAAUUCAUUUUUGUUCACUUGAACCUUAGAUUUGAAAUCCCUUUAAAUUGCAUUCUGGAUGCACUCAUUUCUGAAGGAAAACUAUAGCUAAUAUGAACAUUUCUUCAUGGUAUCAUUUACCUUUUUCUUGCCUAUGAAACUAUGUUAAUCAAUACCUCUUUCUUUUCCUGAGCAUAUGUUUUGAACUUGUUGCGGAGGCCAUAUGUAUACUGCCAUUAUCAGCAAUGAGUAGCUGCCAAAUGUAUUUAUAAAGAGUUUUGAAUAGAUUUGUGGUAUUGACUUAAGCUUGGCUGCCCCUCUGAUUUCAUGUUGACAGGCUACACAAAAUACAUUUAAAUUAUCUCUAAAUUCCUCCUCCUCUUGUUGGCUGUAUGUGUUUGCUGAUUGCACCUAGUUGAGGGUGGAAUUUAGGUUUGUGCUACUUAACAUCCUCUCACUUAAUAGAAUCAGAUUAUCUGUAGAGUGUUUGAAAAUGUGCAAAGAACAAACUGAAAAUAAGAGUAGCAAAGCCUCGAUACUGGGGGAAAACACAGGAAAUUUUGCCUCGAUUACAGAAAUAGCACUUAUUGGUGUAUUGCAUCUGAACAACGGGAGAGAGAUGAGGAAGGUGUAUGUCGCACAUAUUAUAGUCCACUGCACAAAUUGUGUAACAGAACAAAUAAUCUUACCCUCUGUAUAUAUCUAUAUCUGAAGUUUUCCAGAAGGCAGCUUGCUUUUUGUAUCUAUGCAUCUUUGGGGGAGGGAAAGAGGGGUGAAAUUGAUUCUUUUGCGAUUGUAAAACAAUUAUUCGACAAUGAACUUGGAAACUCUGCUCCUGUAUACGAUUUUUUUAGCAAUAAAGCAGCAUGGGCUGAGAAUGCACUAAAA